UCAGCAGGGAGGCCAAGACAGCUGAAAUCCAGCUCUGCUGCAAGGAGCAGACACAGCCACCAUGUUACUAACUAUGGGCUGCCUCCAUGGUGCUGCUGACCCACAGGAGCCACGAGGAGAAGCCUGGAGGGAGCAGGGGCAGUGAUCUGCACCUCAGGAAAAGCAAGCAAUCACAGGACUUCUCAGCACACCCCCCACCCUCUCCCUGUCCCUCCACCUCCUGAACUAUUUGAUCCAUGUAAGAAUCCAGCUGUGAGUGAAUGCAGGCAGGUGUAAAGCCCGGUCCUAAUCCCCUGGCUGUGUACCCGGGUUCCUGUGGUAUACUUUGAACAUGUGCUUCAGAUCAUCGUUUCAGUAGGCCUUAAAAUGUGGCUGAGCCUGAGGACUCUUCAAGACAGCAGGUGUCUGUUCAGCAGGGUUGGAUUUUGGUGCAUUCUGCUGUAGGCGGCUCGUGGAGGGAUGCAGAGAAGUUCAAGCUGUAUUUGUUGUUCUCCUGAAGCGCAGUGCAGCAGGUGAAGCAAUACCCAUCUGCAAAGGGCUUUUUUCAGCCUUGCUUGGAAUAGAGCUUCAAGAAAUGCAAUUGAAACAUGUUAGAACUUCGCUUAGGAGAAGUCUGCACUACAUCUAAGAACACUGGAUUUCAGCCCUUUCUUGAUGUUUCCAUGGCCGCGGUUAGUGGGAUGAAGUCUUUCUUCGUGGCAGAAUGACACGAGACAGAUUUACAUCUUUAAAGAUCCUUGCUGUUGUCUGAACUGCUUUGCAUACAAAGGAGACCUAACUUGAAGGGUUCAGCUGGUGAAUGUGAAGGGUUUACAGUGCUGGAUCAGGUCUCCAUUCACCACCAGCCUCAGAGGGAACUCUGCUCUGGACUGAUAGAGCACAGGGAGGUGAUGCUGUUUCUGAGAGACAGGCUGCAGCACACAGGACCCAGCCAGCCUGCCUCCGUCCUGCCCAGGACAGCCAGGUUUUGACUGCCAGUGUUCCGUGGUGCUGUGGAUUUGCCAGGUUGUACACAGCUCUGAAGUUGCAUGCGUGUCUCCUAUGGAUCAUACAGCACCAGACUGGUUGCAUGGAGGGUGAUAGUACUGACAGUACAGUAAAGGUCUGUCCUGCAUCUUAAGACACUGCUUGUGAUAACUCUGCAGAGCUCUUCUCCCACCUCCAUGGUCUGUUUGUCUCCAAAUUGUCAAGGGCCAGAGAAAGGCAGCAGAAAGCCAAACAAGCUGGUCUCUGUCACUCCAGUGCCUUUUGGUAUUGGUCCAUGGAUAGUCUACCAUGGAGAUGUUUGUCCUUCUAUUCCUUUUCACUGGGCCUCUCUGUCUGAUUGACCACGUUUCUUCUUGAAAUGGGCACUUUCUGCCCCACCUUUACCAAUGUGCUUUGUUGAGUAAGUGGAAGAAAUUGUGAUGAGGACUUGCUGACCCCAGCCUCUUUCAAGCUGUAUGGGAAGGCCCCUUAAGAAAAGUUUUUGUGUGAUAUUUUCAGCUUAACUUUGCAAAUCCACAAAAGCCUGGAAAAGACUGGUUGGCAGCCAAGCCUUGUGCAUCUAUAAAUCUGCCUGUAUUCUCCCUGUGGGUUUGCCUGUCCAUGGAACAAACCACAAGGGCGUUGCUUAUGAUGUUACAGAGAUAAGAGAAGUUCUCAACCCAGAGGGAGAUCCCAGGAGCCUUGAAACAGUUUGGAUCCUUGUCUAAAGCAUGAGGAAAGCCUGUUUCUCUACAGCAGAUGUGGCUGUGUCCUGAAAUCCGAGGACUAGAAAAAUACCUGCAUUCUGUUUAGUCUCUAAGGUAUCACAGAUUCAGAAAAAUACUUAGAGGUCUUCCAAGAAUGCAUUUGUAGGUUUGGGUGUGCAAGCCUGUAAAAGCGUUCAGUUGUCUAGCAAUGGUAGCCUAUGCAGAUAAAGCUUUAUCUUUGACUUGAAGGGCUGCUUUAAAAAUUGUUAUUCCUCCACUGAAGCUGGAAGAAAAGAGAAUGAGUGCUGUGAUCCUGUCAGCUGUGCAGUAAGUGCCUGAUGACACAAAGGCUCUGGAGGGACAUCCUGCACCUGGCAACUCUGCAGUAGGUGUUAAAUGCAGAACUACUGAUGGUAAGUUGCUUCUGCUGCUGCUUAUUGUGGAGGCAGAACCCAACACAAAACAUCCUCCUUUCUUGAGCUGGGUUUGUUUAAGUUCUUGGUGAUCUCUUAGGUAGCAUGUUAAUGUUUUUUUGGUUCUGCUGUGACCCUGCAGCAGCAUUAGAGAGAAUUACACUCUACAGCAAACAAGUCAUUUUGGCCUUUCAGAGAGGGUAAUGACUCUUUGAGAUCCCUCAGUUGUAUUUUUCUCAUUGGCAAAUAAUUGGACCAGGUAUUUCUUUUGUUAUUUAUUAUAAUGAAAAAUAUAUGUCUGCCUGCUCACCAGGUGGUUCGCUCACUCAGGUGCUUAUUAGCACUUUGCAAUUGGUUGAAACGUCUCUUUUCUCUUCUGAAAAACAGUAGAUCAGAAACUCAGACCACCUCCUGGGAUCUGAGUGCCAGCAGUGCCAGCUCACAGAUACCCGCCGUUACACAUGUUAGAGUUUUCCUUUAUUGGCUAGUGCUUCUUACCUGCCUGUUGAUGUGUGUGAGGAAGAGGGCUGGCUCAUUCUGAUGCUGCUGACAAGAUGCCCACCUUGGCUGCUGGUCCCACUCCUAUUCCUACCAGUUGCUCUUGGUGUUGUUGGGGAUCUUCCUGUUCUGCUGUUGGUGCAUCCCCAGAAUAGGGGGAGGAGAACACCACCAGUAUCCUGGUGUGUGUUGCAGUGUGACAGAUGGCAGCAGAGGGGCAGUCUGACAGAACGAUGUCUGACAUGGAAGUGCAUAUGGAGCAAAGGAGUGUCAUUGAAUUCCUCCGUAUGCUGUCUCAGCACAUGAGAGAACUGCUUUUUGAAGGCUAAGUGGAUCCUCAGCCAGGACCACGGCUUUGCUGAGUCCCCAGAAACCUGCUUCCUUCGGGAUAAGCAGCAGCAAAAGAAUGGGGUGGGAUCUAGGACUGGUGCUUGCACCUCAGCCUGCCUCCAUGCUUUCCAAGGGUGCCCUCUUCACAUCUGCUUUUUGGGCUGGGAACCCCUCUGCAUCACCUGGGCUGCCCAUACCUCUUCCCAAAGCCUUCUACAUGGCUGCCACCAUUUGUCCCCUCCCAGAGGCAUGCUCGUGCUGCACACUGCCCAGCUGCACUGGUUGAUGUAGUAAAUGGAAGAGGAAGCUGUUUGGCUUUCAGAGUAUUGUUUACUUAUAUGAGGCCUAACAAACAUGGAUGUUAAGGCCCCCUAGGGGGUCUUUCUUAUGAUGCUGGGGCCUAUUGGAUUAGGCAAAUGAGAGCCAGAGAUUUGCCUAAUAGCUUGACAGGCCAUGAGGGAUUAGACUCGUGGGCUGGUGUAAACGUGUGGUACAGAGGUGCUGUGGUGUGGAUCUCUUCUUAGCCAUGGCUAAAUGCCUUGUCAAUGUGGGUUAAUCUUGUUUGCCUUGUCUUCCAUAAUGCUGCUUUACAGGACACAGCCUCCACCAAUUUAAUCACUGCAGAAUGGAACGGUAGGCUUUUGUUGUGUGUGUGCACCUCCUGCCUUACACAGCACUUACAGCAUUACAGGCAUCAGUAAUUAACAGCAGUUUUUAGAUGGCAUUGGUUCCAGCUCCCUAAGUAGUUGCUCCUUCAGGACCAAAGGUUCCAUUCCAUUGGUUGAAGGCAGCUCCCUCUGUAGAGGUCCCACCACUAUCCCUGUACUGCAGAUCUGCUGCUCCACACUCCUUUAUCAAACACUUCCAUGAACUAUGUGCACAUCCCCAGGCAACACAGCAGCUCCUUCUCCUGAGCAGGGAUCCCGCUGUGUUGCAUUGCUGUGCUCAGGAGCUCUGUGAUGCCCAUGGGAUGCACCCAGAGUGGUGGGUGCCUCACUGGAGAGCAUAAAUGAAACUGGGAGUGGGUGGUGCCCACCCUCAAAAGCAGUUGGCAGUGCUGAACUGAAGUGCCAGGGCUGUGACAGGGUUGUUAAUGUAGCGCAGGUGGGAUGCCUCUGUUCCUUGGUCCCCUUUGGUUCCCAUUUCCCUUUGCUUGUUCUGACAGGGUUCAGUGCUGUCGGUGCUCAGGGUUCACAGAGCAUUAAGGCUAUUGUGGGGCCUCCCACAGAUGGAAGACUUCUGCUCACAGCCAACUCGGAGAAGAGCAGGUACCUCUGCUUCACUAGGUUUGUCUCUCUCCUCAUCUUCUGCCCCGACUUCCUUACGCCUACAGCAAAAGCCUGGCAGAACUGGGUCCAGCACAGGAGCUGGGCCCCAAAUGCUCACAGCCACUGGAAUGUGCAGCCACAAGUCUUCCUUGCCAGAUGCUUUUUGGAGCUGUGGGAGCCAGAGAAGUUCACUGCAGGUGUUCCCCAGCACAGAGGCAGCCUCCUCCGAGGUGAUUAGCAUCUGCAAGGCGCUGACAGGGACAGUGCAGGUGGGAGGAAAAGCUCCCAUUUGCCCCACAGUGGGCAGCCUCUUUCUCAGUUGUGCAAAUUGCCCAUGCAUGGAGCUGGAAGCUCAGACUGCUGCCCAAAAAGCCCAGCAACUACUAACUCUGCUCUGCUCUUCGCUGGAUGGGUGGCAGAGCCACAAGGAGUAGGCAGAGGGACAGGGUGAUGCCUGUCAGCAGUGCAAGGUGGCAGCUUCCCAUCUGCUGCCUGUGCUCGUGUGCUAAUGGCAACCACCUGGGCUCAAGACCAGCUGAGAUGGUGGGGUGAAAAAAGGCUCUGGGUUUGGGCCUGAUGCCUUCAGUCAGCCAGUAGAGGAAAGCUGCAGGUGAGACAGCAUCCAGUCUUCUUGUGUGAAUAAAAAGGGCUGCUGAGCAGUGGGGUAACACUGAGGCUUGCCAAUUGCAUGUAGUAUGGUCUUCUGUCCCAUUCAAGCAGGAGCUGGGUCAGGUAAAGUCUUUUUUUGGUUGUUCCUCCAUGUGAAGCACCAUCUGUCUCUCACCCAAUUAUCUGUGCCUUCCUUUCCUUACAGGUGGGGGGAAGUUUAAAAUCAUCACGUGAGCAAAAAGGAGAAAAGCUGUUGGGAGAGUGUGCGGUGGGGGAUUUUCCCUCUGUGCUGCCUUCAUUGCCUCCUUGGCUCUGCUGCUCCCACACCACAACACCCAACUCUGGGCAGAACGAUGCUGGAAACCAAGAGCUGGCUGGCAGAGCCAGAACACACCAGGAUAUUCAUGACAUGGCCUCAGAAGACCCUGUGCUAACUUCUAAAUUGUGGAGCAGGACUUGGCAGAGUGAAGUACAACCGAGGUUUUGGAUGGGAGCACUGAGAGCAGUAAAAUGCAAAAGAAUGGUUGAAAACCAAAGGGGAAGAAUAUCAGAGAGAAUGAACAGUGAGGGAUUUAAACGAACCUGCCUUCCUCUGAGGGAUCUGGAAAUGCAACCAAGUUUCAUCGGGGAGAAUACAGGAAAGAAACACUGCAGUCUAUAAAGGCCUGGAUUUUUAACCACACAUCAAUGAUGAUUCAGGCAUCCUCCCCAGAGAGAGAAAAUCCAUUGGUGAAUGUUGGUGAAAUCCUGGAUUUAUGACACACAGCUCUGGCCAAGACAUCCUUUGGCUUGGCUAUAUGAAGAACAUUGGGAAUGGUGAGGAAAGCUGCUUGUCGAGCUUUUCAUGUGGUUUCCAUGGCUGGAAAAGUGUGGCUGGGUUCCCUGCCUCCUUGUAAGUGGUCAAAAGAGCUCUUUCAAUUAAAGUGGGGUUUGAAGUCUCAGGUAUGUUCCAGGAAACCAGUGUGGCAGGGAGGGAGACCAGACUGUGCAGCAUACAGCUCUGCGAGCUGGCUUGUGUUGUUUGAGGGUCUUUGCAAUGGGCUGGCUGAGAAAUCCUGAUGCUGGCAGCCCUUUACUCACUACAAGCCCCGAGGUGCAAGUAAGAGGCUGUAUGGAUGCCUUGGUGAUGCACACACCUGCUGAGCUGCUUUUGUCUGCUCUGGUUUAGUUCUGCUGCCAAAUGCAACACGUGCUGAUUUGCUUCCAACAGGCAGAGUUCAUUCCUCUGGUUCCUUACUAAGGCACUUCAAUGCAAACCCCAUCAAGGUACUUGGAGAGCUGAUCAGUGUUUUCUGGUCCUUGGUGAACACUGCUCUCCAUCUGUGGGUAAUAAGUGGAAUCUAUGAGCUGAAACAGCAUGCACAGCUAGAUAUGUUGGGAGAGGGAAGUCCAAAAGCGCAUCAAUUCAGGAAACAUGAGCAGCUCUACAGAAACAAAAGUGGCAUCCUCCAGAGUGCACAGGCAGUAUCUCUGCCUCUGGCAGCUACAAGCAGCCGAGGGAGUUGUGCUUAUCCCCUUCUCCUUGCACCCCACUCUGUCCAUGCUCCCAUGUACCCCAUGCUGGACACAUCUAAGUGCCAGCACCAGUGAUAGCUCCUGCAGCCCUGUGCUGUCCCUGCUCUUCUAAUAGUUAGAGCUAUUCCAGUGCAUUUGCUGCUCUCAGUGUCUUUGGAUUUUUUUUCUUCUGAUCACUCCCAGUCCUCAUGCCCCUGGCUGGCCCUGCUGGUGAGCGGGUCAACCCGAGCAGUUUCUCUGCUGACCUCAGGCUGGGGUUGCUCUUAGUCAUGCUCCUCUAACUUUGCUUUCCUUCCUGCUCCUCCUGGCCACACACGCAGUCUGAUUUGUUCUAAGUGCCUUCCACGAAGAAGCAGGGAGAUGUGUUUUAUCCAGCUCUCAGACACAAAGUCAGCAGGUUACUUGGCCGCCCAAGUCCAGCUUUCUUGUACUCCCUGGCAGCACAGGACAGACUGGACAUGCCAUUUCUUAAGCACAGCACAAUGCCCUUUUGUGCAGUGUUCCUGAGCUGGCCAGGUUGGGUUUUGUUUCACAAAGCCUCUUUAAAUUCAAUUUUUCCACCAUGGAAUUACGAAGAAAAAGAUUUCUUUCUUCCUUCAUCAAACCUUAGCCCAGGUUUGUUCAUAACAGGUCUGUGAUCCUACAGCUAGGUUUCAGCUUUGUAAAUAAACCUGUAACCUCGGCAUCCCAGGCGUUUUGUAAUCAAAUUUGUGCAUAACAACACUAUAAUUUCAGGCCUAGAGAGAGAAGAUGGUGCUGGGAGGCCAGAGGAUCACCUUUUAUUCCAGCAUCGUCUGCAAGCUGUGUGUAGAAAAUUACUUCAUUGCCCUGUUUGCAGUUUCCUCAUUUGUCAAGUGGCACCAAGCGGUUGAGAGAUGUCUCAGGAAUGGUGUAAACCUCUCCCCACAUUUCCAGAGUGCCUGAGGUCCUUUCAUAAAGAGGAUGAGAGAAGUGAGUGGGAUGGAGGGAGUUUCCUCUGGAAAGGGGAAUCCAGAAUGAGAAACACAUUCAGCCACUGCAAACAGCAGAAACACAUACGCUUUGACUGCAGGAGCCAGACCAUGCGUGCCUCACAUGUGCAGCUGCCCAGAUUUAUGGCCUGUUAUCCUCCUGGCAAUUACUGGAUUGUACCGUAGGGAUCUGCAUGGGCGAUGCGCAGGUUGCCCACACAGCCUGGCCUUCUGAGAAAUGACACGGCGUGCGCCAUGUGCUGCGGCCAGCAGCAGCUGUGCUGGAAAACCACCACGGAGGAAAUCACAAGUUAGUGAGUCACCGAGACUGCUGCCAGCCUGUCAGGAGACUCUCCAUAACUCAGCUUUCAUGUGCUUGUACUUCUGUUCUAAAGCAGGCUCAGAUGCCACCUUGAAGAGCAGAACAGCUUCUAGCAGGUGGGAAGAAGGACCUGGUUUUUCAUUCUCCAAUCCCAAAUGUAGGCCAUGUAAGAUGCUGUCCCUGGGCUCUCUUGUGUGAUGGCUGGGCUUUACUCCCCAGAGUUGCCUGGCAAAGCUGGAGCUGGUGAGAAUCAAAGCCAAAGCUGCUCCUUGGUCUCAGUCAUGAAAAACUGACCCUAAGAAACACAGCCAGGAGUUUCCUCUGACCGUAGAGAAUCGCAGUGAUGAGAUGAGCUAUUUGAGAAGAUGCGUGCUUGAGCCGAGUGGGACACAGGGGGAUCUGGGUGAGAAGGGACCCCUUGGAAGGAUCUUGGGUCUUGAAUGUGUUUUGUUUAAUGUCGAGCACUUGAACCAUGUGAGACCCCAAGGGCCGGCACUGUUUGCACGCUGCCCACAUGCCCAAGUGCCCUGUGAUGCUGCUGAGCAGGAGCUUUCCAAAACAAAACCUCUCCCAGCAGGAGCCAAUACUGUCUCUGUACAGGCAGUUUGGGGUUCCUUGCAAAUAACAUGCCACGCUUGUCCCAUGUCCCCAGUGUCCAGCCCAUCCCCAAGCCAGGCAGUCACUUAUCAACAGUUUGGAUGAUUCCUUGUUAUUACUCCAGAGCUCUUGGGCUUGCAAAGCUAGACAGGAAAUAUUGUAGAAAUGGUUUUUCCUGUCCGAAAUGCAGCCAGGCCCUUUCUGAGGGCUACCUGGAAAUAGCUGGAAGACAAUCUUGGCAAAAAAACUCCCACAGCUUGAGCCCUGGAUAGGAACUGGAAGUUGGGCAAAGAUCUAACCUGGCCUCAGAUCUUAGGAAGUUCUGGGGUAUGCAACAGAGGAUAGAAGCACAAGUACUGCCCCGCUGCUUUAAGCUGGCUUUUCUAGUGAACCUGAGUGACAGACUAACCCAGCUCCCCUUAUAUCUAGGACAUGAGCCUGAGCCCCACUCACCUCGUCUGGAACCCCCCCACCCAUGACCCUGGCCUUGUCCACUCCUGUCUUUCCUGCUCCUGUGGAAAACCAGUUUCAUUUCCUCAUGUAAUUGUUCUUUCUCCAUCCUGAACUCAGGCUUUUCAGCAGUUUGUUGUUCUGCUUCCCUUUCAGCUCCUCUCUCUGGAUGUGAAGGUUUGUCUUUUUGCCCAAUAAAACCAAAGCAGCCUUCAAAUUGCUCCCCAAACUCCUGCCUAUGGUCUGACACCAAGAGGUAAAUCUUGUUCCAAUUGCAGUCAGCCCUAUGGAGGCUGCUGGUUGUUGCUGGCUUUCCCGCUGGAAAAUGUUGCAUGACUGAUGAACAAAAGUCUUGGAGGUUUCAGCCAUUUGGCUCCAGUACUGUACCAAGCACGCAAAAUCACCCACUGCAUUAAGUCCAACCUAAGCAAAGCAAACUGCAGCCUCCAUGAUUAAUAUUUGAAGCCACAGAGAGGAAGGAAAAAACAAGAGUUCUGACCUGAAUGGUAUCUGAAGUUGAAAAACGCCCAGCAUUCAGCCUUCAAGAGCACUUUUGAAACCUCCCGUAGAGAAAAUAAUUAAAGAGAUGAAAGAUACAGUGACUGAUAGUAAUAAAUCACGUGCAGCUGUCUUUGCCCUCUCAGCAAACGUAAAUCACUUUUGCCUUUAAAAUAUGGCAGCAAGCAUUCUUCCCAGAUUGCUUUGAAUUUAUUAGACAAGGUCAUUAGAAAUGUAUUAGGGCAAAAUCUGAAUUUAUUAACUGAGUUACUUAAUAGCUUAAUUGCUCAGCUAGCACCAGCUCUGCGCUGCCUGGUUGGGAGCAGGAGGGAAGAGGGAAGGUGUGUCACCCAUCACCGCACCCCGCUGCCCGGCCCUGCAGAGACCCUGUGUGCUCCACGGGGUCUGGUUUGACACUUCCUAAUUAGCAGCAGGCAGAUGUGUUUGUCUCCACAGUAAUUGGCUUAACGUUGGCCAGGGUGUCUUUUGAGAAGGAAAAAUUUUGUAGGGGCUGCAGCUGGACCAUACCAGAUCUUGACAUGGGCUUUUUUGUGCAUGAGUCUUUAGGGGUGGUCAUGAAGAAUCAUAGAACUGUUUGAGUUGGAAGGGACCCUCAAAGGCCAUCUGGUCCAACCCCAUGCAAUGAACACGGACACCUACAGCUCCAUCAGGUGCUCAGAGCCCCAUCCCCAUUAACCCCAGGUGUUAACACAAGAAAGAGUGGAGAUGACUCCUGCUGAAGUCACUGGGUAUUUUGCAUUGUAGCAGAUGCCAUCAGACCCCCAGAUCUUUCACUGAUGUAUGCUUUCUCUUUCUCCCCAAUGAUAGGUAGCUCCAGAGUAAGGAAGAAAGUGAGAGGUGAAAACAUGAAGUUAAUGACUGCAGUGACAAACUUUACUGCAGCAACUUUAUGGGGGGAAAAAUGUCUCGCAAUCUUUGCUGCACAACAAUGUCCCGACAGACAUGAUGUCAUUGCGUCUUAAAAGGUGUUUGAGUUGGAAAAUCCUUUCUGCGGUGUUUUAAGGAGCUGUUUAAAUGAUUAAUAAGGUUUAUGCGUGUGAUUUAUUAUCUCAGAAUAGAAAUGUACAGUAGGUAUAAAAUGUAUUUGAAAGGGACGACUGUGUUUAUUCAUGGUACAGGUGUUAUAUUCCCAGACAUGUAUCAAAAUAAACAUGCUUAGCUGGAAGAGAAGCAUGAGGCAUCUGGCAGCACAUCUGCCUGCACGUGCCCUGACAGUCUGUGGCGGGAGGAAGGAGUGGGUGGGCAGAAUGUUGGUUUGGACUCAUGCAACUCAUCAACUCAUGCAAACAUGAGAUUUCACCUGCACUCGCUGCUCACUGUAUCACCCAGAGUGUAUUCAAUGUGUCUUGUGAUUAAGCACAUGAAUUAAAGCUAUGUAAGUGUUGUUUAUUAUUGCA
Molecule: non-coding RNA, 10541 nt
Organism: Coturnix japonica (Japanese quail)
Lineage: Eukaryota; Metazoa; Chordata; Aves; Galliformes; Phasianidae
Source: RefSeq, a predicted model, not a curated record